Portunus trituberculatus (swimming crab) is the source of this 868-nucleotide long non-coding RNA. RefSeq lists it as uncharacterized. The transcript has 2 exons. The record is from RefSeq and is a predicted model, not a curated record. NCBI's taxonomy places the organism in Eukaryota, Metazoa, Arthropoda, Malacostraca, Decapoda, Portunidae.
AAGUACAAAUUACGGUUUGCUAGGCGUUAGGUGUUAGGCAUCGGGCGAUAGGCGGCGCGGCUAACCAUUCUCUUCCAGGUACAAACUAACCUUCUCUUCCAGGUACAUGUUAAUUAUCUAGUCUUCCCCAGUAAUGCCCUGGUUAGCGCACCUUGGCGGCGAUCCAGGAGCCUCGUGCUGGUGGUGGUGGUGGCGGCGUGGCAGGCUGGCAGGCUGGCUGUGGCGGGCGUGCACAUGCUAUCAUAUAGUAUGGAUGGAAGUAUGCAAACCUCGCAAUGAAGAUGGAAAAGUAACAUGAACAAGGUUGUGAAUGUUCGGGUGUGGUGUGGAUGAGCAAGCCAGCGAGCAAGCUGGCAUGAGGAGCCGAGCGGGGGAGGCAGCUCAGCAUGUGUAGGCUAUGUGAGGCUAGCCAAGAUGUAUGAAUAUUGUACUGUACUUAUGCUAUGGAAUGGUUUUGUUACUGUAAAGCAUAUUUAAGAAAAAUAAAAAUAUGGCUGAUUUCCUUGUGUAUAAGUUUCCGGUGUAUGCGAGUGUGUGUAACUGUGUAUGGCGUGUGGAUGGUUGAGCGAGGGUGUGGGUGCAGGCUGCAGACUGAGGCACAUGACGUGGAGCCUGUGGUGACCGGUGACUGGUUCACUCUGGUAUUUACACGACUGCCGAGGGAAUAAUACAUAAAGUUCAGUCUUAGGCGCUCACGAGGGAAUAUACUUUAGCACUCCCGAGAGAAUAUACAUACUGUAAGGUUCAGUCUAGCCAAGUUAGUUAUUAAAGAUCUAAUCGGACACCGGAAUUCUGUUUCAAGGUAAGAAGGACUGCUAAUCAAGUCAUUUUACAUUGUUGUGCUUCAAAACGAUAAAAUUCAUAAAAA